Drosophila sulfurigaster albostrigata is the source of this 1093-nucleotide long non-coding RNA. RefSeq lists it as uncharacterized. Lineage: Eukaryota; Metazoa; Arthropoda; Insecta; Diptera; Drosophilidae. The transcript has 3 exons. The record is from RefSeq and is a predicted model, not a curated record.
AAUUGAAAAUUGCGCAAAACAAAAGGAAAUCAAAACAAACUAUUGACGACGGGCCACGCUUGGACCCCGGCGUACCCACCCUGCCUGAGAUGGCUACAUCGGCGACAUCUCCUUAGCGUUGGCCACUAUAUCAGUGGCUGCUCCUCAUCCGGCGUAGUGCUGUGGAAUUCCCCUCCCUUCCAUGCUGAGAAACUUACACAACCAUGUUCAUCAUAUUCGAAUUUCAUUACAGCUACACGGAACAGGAUUCGAAGCAAAAGCAAAUAACAAAACAAACAAGGCGGAACAACAAAGAAAUAAUAACGGAGUAGGGACAAUUAUAUAUGGUAUGUAAAGAGAUCACAGAUAGGUAUAUUUAUGUAUGUAUGUAUACGCAUAUUUGGGUGUAUGUAUGUAUGCUUGAUUCGCUUAAAUGUCUACCUUGACCUGCCUAAGAGCUCUUGAGGUUUGGUGAAGGGGCGAUAGGUGAUGAUAUAGUCGAUAUAUGUAUAUACUUUUUUUUUAUAAAUAUAACCAAACAUUUGUAUUUCCGUAGAGGCAAAUGUUUAUCUGGAUAAAUUCUUGUCCAACACCUCUGUCAUUUCACAACAAAACAUUGAUUUAUUUUACUUUAAUUUGUACUCUACUUUAAUUAGCUUUAAUUUAUUUUACUUUAAUAUAAUUUUAAUUUACUUCGCAACAUUUAUAAUUCGCUGAUCAACAAAAAAAGUCGGCGGAAAAUAAAAUAUAUAUCGAGGACUCGAAACCAAAGAAUUAUUUGCUGUUGAUGUUUACGCAACGUGACGACAGUUGCAAAUGUUUUAACGUAGCGCACUGGCGGUCGGAAAUAGGGCGGGCUUGGAACGGACUCACCAGUCGAAUUCCUCCUCCUGCCUCAGCGUUGGCGGCGUUGUCUCGCCCACUAUCCCACGUCGUGGAUGCUUCUCCACGUCGUUGAAGAGCCGUGUGCCUUCUCGCGGCGACGGUCGCCCGCGCUUGUCCAGCGGUGAUGUUCUGGUCGUGGCUGUCGUUGUCGUUGUUGUUGCAGUCGUGGUUGUUGUUGUUGCCGUAGCUUGUUGCAAUUGCUUGGAUGUAGCUGCCGUCGCUCUCUGCU